GAUGAACGCUGGCGGCGUGCCUAAUACAUGCAAGUCGAGCGAACGGACGAGAAGCUUGCUUCUCUGAUGUUAGCGGCGGACGGGUGAGUAACACGUGGAUAACCUACCUAUAAGACUGGGAUAACUUCGGGAAACCGUAGCUAAUACCGGAUAAUAUUUUGAACCGCAUGGUUCAAAAGUGAAAGACGGUCUUGCUGUCACUUAUAGCUGGAUCCCCGCUGCAUUAGCUAGUUGGUAAGGUAACGGCUUACCACGGCAACGAUGCAUAGCCGACCUGUGAGGGUGAUAGGCCACACUAGAAGGGAGACACGGACCAUGCUCCUAAGAGAGGCAGCAGUAGGGAAUCGGACGCAGUAGUCGAAAGCCUGACGGAGCAAGGCCGAGUGAGUGAUGAAGGUCUUCGGAUCGUAAUGAUGUGUUAUGAGGGAAGAACAUAUGUGUAAGGAACUGUGCACAUCGUGACGGUACCUAAUCAGAAAGCCACGGCUAACUACGUG
This 497-nucleotide ribosomal RNA is filed under the name uncultured bacterium. RNAcentral's name for it is "partial 16S ribosomal RNA". It matches the Rfam family "Bacterial small subunit ribosomal RNA", at positions 28 to 507 of the family's 1533-position model. The record is from RNAcentral.